Molecule: ribosomal RNA, 61 nt
Filed under: uncultured organism
Description: partial 16S ribosomal RNA
Source: RNAcentral
UACGCUUGACAUGUACGGAAGUCUGCUGAGAGGUGGACGUGCCUGAAGGGAACCGUAACAC